GGAGGGUGCGAGCGUUAAUCGGAAUUACUGGGCGUAAAGCGCACGCAGGCGGUUUGUUAAGCUAGAUGUGAAAGCCCCGGGCUCAACCUGGGAUGGUCAUUUAGAACUGGCAGGCUAGAGUCUUGGAGAGGGGAGUGGAAUUCCAGGUGUAGCGGUGAAAUGCGUAGAUAUCUGGAGGAACAUCAGUGGCGAAGGCGACUCCCUGGCCAAAGACUGACGCUCAUGUGCGAAAGUGUGGGUAGCGAACAGGAUUAGAUACCCUGGUAGUCCACACCGUAAACGCUGUCUACUAGCUGUUUGUGACUUUAAGUCGUGAGUAGCGAAGCUAACGCGCUAAGUAGACCGCCUGGGGAGUACGGCCGCAAGGUUAAAACUCAAAUGAAUUGACGGGGGCCGCACAAGCGGUGGGGCAUGUGGUUUAAUUCGAUGCAACGCGAAGAACCUUACCUACACUUGACAUGCAGAGAACUUACCAGAGAUGGAUUGGUGCCUUCGGGAACUCUGACACAGGUGCUGCAUGGCUGUCGUCAGCUCGUGUCGUGAGAUGUUGGGUUAAGUCCCGCAACGAGCGCAACCCUUGUCCUUAGUUGCCAGCAUUCAAUUGGGCA
RNAcentral lists this ribosomal RNA (608 nucleotides) under uncultured Alteromonadaceae bacterium. Its description in RNAcentral is "bacterial SSU rRNA". It matches the Rfam family "Bacterial small subunit ribosomal RNA", at positions 527 to 1137 of the family's 1533-position model. Lineage: Bacteria; Pseudomonadati; Pseudomonadota; Gammaproteobacteria; Alteromonadales; Alteromonadaceae. The record is from RNAcentral.